UUGAAUCUCAGAAUGGGAUUUUUUUGGCAGAGCAUUCGAUAUGGGUUUUAUGGGAUUCCUGGAUGGUGCUUGGGCAGAGCUGAUCCUCAUGGUUGAUGCCCGGAAGCUCUACUUUUGUGCAACAAAUUGAAGUUAGAGAUGAUGAUAAGAAAGGUGUCCUUCUAUAUUCGUUUUCCAAGAAACCUGACUUGAGCUCCCUAGCAAAUUGGAGACUUGGAGUGUAUCAAACUACAUGAUUCUUACAUCCCACAGCCGCAAGAUUUUCCUUGUGGUUGAACAAUGGAUCAACAAUCCGUAUGGCAUAUGAGGCUCCAACUCGUGCUUUAAAUCGAUUGCAAGUGGUAAUGACGACAGAGAGAAAUAGGGAGGGAUGGCAGCUAGGGUUUGAGAUCAACUGGUAAAACGUAUAUUCGGUUUGAGCGGGUUCGACCCGCAAGCUAUUUCAAACCGCUUUUUGGUCGGGUCGGGUCGAGUCUUGCUGAAGGACCGGGUCACAACUUUAUUUGCAUAGGCGUAGUUGCCAUCCCAUCUUCAGCAACAAUUUUACACGUAUUCAAAAGCAGCAAACAGGGGCGUAUCUUAGAAUUUGUAUCAAAAUUACCAUUAUCUCAGGCAUCACUCUAUAUUAACCGAAACAAACCAAUAGACUCUGUGACUGCAAGAAUUAUUUCAUCAGAAACAGGCCCAGGAAUAGCUGAUGGCCUGCAAUACACAACAAACAUAUCACAAACAGACCAGCAAGACAUUUCAUGCUGAUGUAUUUAGGAAGUAGAACUGUGUGUGCGUGUCCAACAGUGACUUAAAACUCUCAAAAGAGAAGGCAUUACAUAAGAGACUCAUAUGGCACCGAGUGUCCAAGAAGAAAGUCCCAACUAAUCCCCGGGGUGAUUGUAGUCUAGCUAAUGUUCUUUUUAGUUUCUCAGUUGAAGCUUUAAUUUAUAUGUUUUUAUGGUGUACAAUGCUAAAUGGUCCAUCUGGUUUGCCUUUUGAACAGAUUGAUCCCUAUACUUUCAUAUCAAUAUUUUUUAAUUUUUUAUUA
This is a long non-coding RNA of Carya illinoinensis, 1039 nucleotides long. RefSeq lists it as uncharacterized. Lineage: Eukaryota; Viridiplantae; Streptophyta; Magnoliopsida; Fagales; Juglandaceae. The record is from RefSeq and is a predicted model, not a curated record. The transcript has 2 exons.